CUGACUGCGGCCAUAACAGUGCCAUUUCUAACUGAAAACCUGCUUGGUGUAGAACACUAAAAAGUGAUUAUUAUGGUGUUAUAUACAUGAGUAUAUAUGGACAGAGAUCUAUACGUAUUUAUAUUUGUGAGCCUGUGUAUCUAGAAAUAUAAUUAUCCAAACAUACAUAAGCCUCUUCUCCUCCUCUAGGAGACUCCAGCCUGCCUGAGUGUGGCCAGCUAAGAAGGUAUUUAAGUUUUUGCUUAAUUCACCGGCAUCUGGCUGAGGAUCCAGUAGACCUGAAGGCCGAGGGUGAGCCUCUUCACUACAGAGAAGAAACAUGCACUGGGUUCCUUCUGCCAACCAGAAACUGAGCAUCAAGCCACUUGUGGUGUUCCAGUCCUUAUGAUGUGCUGUUUGCCAGUGACAGAGCAUGUCUCACGAUGCAUGAGCAAUCCCAAACACUCAGGAGUUGAGAUCUCCUGA
RNAcentral lists this long non-coding RNA (465 nucleotides) under Numida meleagris (helmeted guineafowl). RNAcentral's name for it is "lncRNA (ENSNMEG00000005896.1)". Lineage: Eukaryota; Metazoa; Chordata; Aves; Galliformes; Numididae. The record is from RNAcentral.